RNAcentral lists this long non-coding RNA (429 nucleotides) under Capsella rubella. RNAcentral's name for it is "long non-coding RNA (CRUB_LNC005143)". The record is from RNAcentral. Lineage: Eukaryota; Viridiplantae; Streptophyta; Magnoliopsida; Brassicales; Brassicaceae.
UUUUUUUUUUUUUUUCAUUAGUUAUUUUUUUAAACAAAAUUAUCAUUAUGUUUUGCUCUAUUAGAGAGUGGAACUUAUGUUAAAAGAUAGAAAGUUUUUAUAGCAUUACAAUAGGAAUGAUGAGUUUUACAAAUUACAAUUACUUAACAUUACAUUAUAGAAAUGAAGGUGGACGCAUCAUGGUUUGAUGCUCAUUCUCUACGCAGGUCCACUCCAAACGUGACAAACAAAAGUGUAGUCUAUUCUUUUAAAUAAGUUAUCAAAUUACUGUAUUACGAAGAAAAUCAGACGCACCAAUUACCAAAUGAGGAGAUGGCAAAUUUCCAUAUUUGGAAAUGAAACUCGACGCAACGGUCUUUGCUUCUUUUGGGUUGCUUCGAUAUAACUAUUGCUUCAAAAUCAUAUUACACCCACUAUGUCUAUUGCGUG